AUUAUGACGUACUUGUACUGAUUGAGAUUUUAACACGAAGUGAGUGGCGAACGGGUGAGUAACACGUGGGUAACCUGCCCAGAAGUAGGGGAUAACACCUGGAAACAGAUGCUAAUACCGUAUAACAGAGAAAACCGCAUGGUUUUCUUUUAAAAGAUGGCUCUGCUAUCACUUCUGGAUGGACCCGCGGCGUAUUAGCUAGUUGGUGAGGUAAAGGCUCACCAAGGCAGUGAUACGUAGCCGACCUGAGAGGGUAAUCGGCCACAUUGGGACUGAGACACGGCCCAGACUCCUACGGGAGGCAGCAGUAGGGAAUCUUCCACAAUGGACGCAAGUCUGAUGGAGCAACGCCGCGUGAGUGAAGAAGGGUUUCGGCUCGUAAAGCUCUGUUGUUAAAGAAGAACGUGGGUAAGAGUAACUGUUUACCCAGUGACGGUAUUUAACCAGAAAGCCACGGCUAACUACGUGCCAGCAGCCGCGGUAAU
This 485-nucleotide ribosomal RNA is filed under the name Pediococcus pentosaceus. RNAcentral's name for it is "bacterial SSU rRNA". It matches the Rfam family "Bacterial small subunit ribosomal RNA", at positions 63 to 524 of the family's 1533-position model. The record is from RNAcentral. Lineage: Bacteria; Bacillati; Bacillota; Bacilli; Lactobacillales; Lactobacillaceae.